RNAcentral lists this ribosomal RNA (1229 nucleotides) under Lentilactobacillus buchneri. Its description in RNAcentral is "bacterial SSU rRNA". It matches the Rfam family "Bacterial small subunit ribosomal RNA", at positions 267 to 1479 of the family's 1533-position model. The record is from RNAcentral. Lineage: Bacteria; Bacillati; Bacillota; Bacilli; Lactobacillales; Lactobacillaceae.
ACAAGGGCGGUUAAUUGGUACCCCACCCUGAAGAGGGUUAUUGGCCCCACUUGGGGAAUUGAAACCCCGGCCCCAAAUCUCCUUGGGGGAGCCACCAGUAGGGAAUUUUCCCACAAUGGACGAAAAUUCUGAUGGAGCAACGCCGCGUGAGUGAUGAAGGGUUUCGGCUCGUAAAACUCUGUUGUUGGAGAAGAACAGGUGUCAGAGUAACUGUUGACAUCUUGACGGUAUCCAACCAGAAAGCCACGGCUAACUACGUGCCAGCAGCCGCGGUAAUACGUAGGUGGCAAGCGUUGUCCGGAUUUAUUGGGCGUAAAGCGAGCGCAGGCGGUUUUUUAGGUCUGAUGUGAAAGCCUUCGGCUUAACCGGAGAAGUGCAUCGGAAACCGGGAGACUUGAGUGCAGAAGAGGACAGUGGAACUCCAUGUGUAGCGGUGAAAUGCGUAGAUAUAUGGAAGAACACCAGUGGCGAAGGCGGCUGUCUGGUCUGUAACUGACGCUGAGGCUCGAAAGCAUGGGUAGCGAACAGGAUUAGAUACCCUGGUAGUCCAUGCCGUAAACGAUGAGUGCUAAGUGUUGGAGGGUUUCCGCCCUUCAGUGCUGCAGCUAACGCAUUAAGCACUCCGCCUGGGGAGUACGACCGCAAGGUUGAAACUCAAAGGAAUUGACGGGGGCCCGCACAAGCGGUGGAGCAUGUGGUUUAAUUCGAUGCUACGCGAAGAACCUUACCAGGUCUUGACAUCUUCUGCCAACUUAAGAGAUUAGGCGUUCCCUUCGGGGACAGAAUGACAGGUGGUGCAUGGUUGUCGUCAGCUCGUGUCGUGAGAUGUUGGGUUAAGUCCCGCAACGAGCGCAACCCUUAUUGUUAGUUGCCAGCAUUCAGUUGGGCACUCUAGCAAGACUGCCGGUGACAAACCGGAGGAAGGUGGGGAUGACGUCAAAUCAUCAUGCCCCUUAUGACCUGGGCUACACACGUGCUACAAUGGACGGUACAACGAGUCGCGAAACCGCGAGGUCAAGCUAAUCUCUUAAAGCCGUUCUCAGUUCGGAUUGUAGGCUGCAACUCGCCUACAUGAAGUUGGAAUCGCUAGUAAUCGUGGAUCAGCAUGCCACGGUGAAUACGUUCCCGGGCCUUGUACACACCGCCCGUCACACCAUGAGAGUUUGUAACACCCAAAGCCGGUGAGGUAACCUUCGGGGACCAGCCGUCUAAGGUGACCAGAAUUUGGG